Molecule: ribosomal RNA, 850 nt
Filed under: uncultured fungus
Lineage: Eukaryota; Fungi
Description: SSU rRNA
Rfam family: Eukaryotic small subunit ribosomal RNA
Source: RNAcentral
AUGGCCUUGUGCCGGCGGCGUAUCUUUCAAAUGUCUGCCCUAUCAACUUUCGAUGGUAGGUGACAUGCCUACCAUGGUUGUAACGGGUAACGGAGAAUCAGGGUUCGAUUCCGGAGAGGGAGCCUGAGAAACGGCUACCACAUCCAAGGAAGGCAGCAGGCGCGCAAAUUACCCACUCCCGGCACGGGGAGGUAGUGACGAGAAAUAACAAUGCUGGGCUUCAAGUCCGGUAAUUGGAAUGAGUACACUUUAAAUCCUUUAACGAGGAUCUAGUGGAGGGCAAGUCUGGUGCCAGCAGCCGCGGUAAUUCCAGCUCCACGAGCAUGUACGUAAGUUGUUGCAGUUAAAAAGCUCGUAGUUGGAUCUCAGGCUUGUGGCCAGUGGUCCGCCCGAUACGGGUGUGCACUGCUGUGCCCGGUCUACGUCUGGUCUAAACGUCCGUAGUGCCCUUAACCGGGUGCUGCGGAAUGCCAGAAGGUUUACUCUGAAAAAAUUAGAGUGCUUAAAGCAAGCCGUUUGUGCUUGAAUACUGUUGCAUGGAAUAAUGGAAUAGGACCUCGGAUCUAUUUUGUUGGUUUUCGGAGUCGAGGUAAUGAUUAAGAGGGACAGACGGGGGCAUUCGUAUUGCGCCGUUAGAGGUGAAAUUCUUGGAUCGGCGCAAGACGAACAACUGCGAAAGCAUUUGCCAAGGAUGUUUUCAUUAAUCAAGAACGAAAGUCAGAGGUUCGAAGACGAUCAGAUACCGUCGUAGUUCUGACCAUAAACGAUGCCAACUGGCGAUCCGCCGUAGUCUGCUUUAAAGGACUCGGCGGGCAGCCUCCGGGAAACCUAAGUCUAUGGGUUCCGGGGG